This 114-nucleotide non-coding RNA is filed under the name Parvimonas micra. Its description in RNAcentral is "FMN sequence". It matches the Rfam family "FMN riboswitch aptamer (RFN element)". From Rfam's summary of the family: The RFN element is a highly conserved domain that is found frequently in the 5'-untranslated regions of prokaryotic mRNAs that encode for flavin mononucleotide (FMN) biosynthesis and transport proteins. This element is a metabolite-dependent riboswitch that directly binds FMN in the absence of proteins. The record is from Rfam by way of RNAcentral. Lineage: Bacteria; Bacillati; Bacillota; Tissierellia; Tissierellales; Peptoniphilaceae.
ACUUGUCUUCAGGGCGAGGGUCGUUUCCUCACCGGCAGUAAAGUCUGCGAGCAUUAUGCUGAAUUGGUGAAAUUCCAAUACCGACAGUUAAAGUCUGGAUGAAAGAAGAAAUGU